AGAGUUUGAUCCUGGCUCAGAACGAACGCUGGCGGCAGGCCUAACACAUGCAAGUCGAACGGAUCCUUCGGGAUUAGUGGCAGACGGGUGAGUAACGCGUGGGAAGCUACCUUGUGGUAGGGAACAACAGUUAGAAACGACUGCUAAUACCCUAUGAGCCCUAUGGGGGAAAGAUUUAUCGCCAUGAGAUGUGCCCGCGUUAGAUUAGCUAGUUGGUAAGGUAAUGGCUUACCAAGGCGACGAUCUAUAGCUGGUCUGAGAGGAUGAUCAGCCACACUGGGACUGAGACACGGCCCAGACUCCUACGGGAGGCAGCAGUGGGGAAUAUUGGACAAUGGGGGCAACCCUGAUCCAGCCAUGCCGCGUGUGUGAUGACGGCCUUAGGGUUGUAAAGCACUUUCAGCAGUGAAGAUAAUGACAUUAACUGCAGAAGAAGCCCCGGCUAACUUCGUGCCAGCAGCCGCGGUAAUUCAAGCCGAAUUCCA
RNAcentral lists this ribosomal RNA (485 nucleotides) under alpha proteobacterium K786. RNAcentral's name for it is "bacterial SSU rRNA". It matches the Rfam family "Bacterial small subunit ribosomal RNA", at positions 8 to 537 of the family's 1533-position model. Lineage: Bacteria; Pseudomonadati; Pseudomonadota; Alphaproteobacteria. The record is from RNAcentral.